This 2925-nucleotide ribosomal RNA is filed under the name Escherichia coli. Its description in RNAcentral is "23S ribosomal RNA". It matches the Rfam family "Bacterial large subunit ribosomal RNA". Lineage: Bacteria; Pseudomonadati; Pseudomonadota; Gammaproteobacteria; Enterobacterales; Enterobacteriaceae. The record is from RNAcentral.
GGGUUGUGAGGUUAAGCGACUAAGCGUACACGGUGGAUGCCCUGGCAGUCAGAGGCGAUGAAGGACGUGCUAAUCUGCGAUAAGCGUCGGUAAGGUGAUAUGAACCGUUAUAACCGGCGAUUUCCGAAUGGGGAAACCCAGUGUGUUUCGACACACUAUCAUUAACUGAAUCCAUAGGUUAAUGAGGCGAACCGGGGGAACUGAAACAUCUAAGUACCCCGAGGAAAAGAAAUCAACCGAGAUUCCCCCAGUAGCGGCGAGCGAACGGGGAGCAGCCCAGAGCCUGAAUCAGUGUGUGUGUUAGUGGAAGCGUCUGGAAAGGCGCGCGAUACAGGGUGACAGCCCCGUACACAAAAAUGCACAUGCUGUGAGCUCGAUGAGUAGGGCGGGACACGUGGUAUCCUGUCUGAAUAUGGGGGGACCAUCCUCCAAGGCUAAAUACUCCUGACUGACCGAUAGUGAACCAGUACCGUGAGGGAAAGGCGAAAAGAACCCCGGCGAGGGGAGUGAAAAAGAACCUGAAACCGUGUACGUACAAGCAGUGGGAGCACGCUUAGGCGUGUGACUGCGUACCUUUUGUAUAAUGGGUCAGCGACUUAUAUUCUGUAGCAAGGUUAACCGAAUAGGGGAGCCGAAGGGAAACCGAGUCUUAACUGGGCGUUAAGUUGCAGGGUAUAGACCCGAAACCCGGUGAUCUAGCCAUGGGCAGGUUGAAGGUUGGGUAACACUAACUGGAGGACCGAACCGACUAAUGUUGAAAAAUUAGCGGAUGACUUGUGGCUGGGGGUGAAAGGCCAAUCAAACCGGGAGAUAGCUGGUUCUCCCCGAAAGCUAUUUAGGUAGCGCCUCGUGAAUUCAUCUCCGGGGGUAGAGCACUGUUUCGGCAAGGGGGUCAUCCCGACUUACCAACCCGAUGCAAACUGCGAAUACCGGAGAAUGUUAUCACGGGAGACACACGGCGGGUGCUAACGUCCGUCGUGAAGAGGGAAACAACCCAGACCGCCAGCUAAGGUCCCAAAGUCAUGGUUAAGUGGGAAACGAUGUGGGAAGGCCCAGACAGCCAGGAUGUUGGCUUAGAAGCAGCCAUCAUUUAAAGAAAGCGUAAUAGCUCACUGGUCGAGUCGGCCUGCGCGGAAGAUGUAACGGGGCUAAACCAUGCACCGAAGCUGCGGCAGCGACGCUUAUGCGUUGUUGGGUAGGGGAGCGUUCUGUAAGCCUGUGAAGGUGUGCUGUGAGGCAUGCUGGAGGUAUCAGAAGUGCGAAUGCUGACAUAAGUAACGAUAAAGCGGGUGAAAAGCCCGCUCGCCGGAAGACCAAGGGUUCCUGUCCAACGUUAAUCGGGGCAGGGUGAGUCGACCCCUAAGGCGAGGCCGAAAGGCGUAGUCGAUGGGAAACAGGUUAAUAUUCCUGUACUUGGUGUUACUGCGAAGGGGGGACGGAGAAGGCUAUGUUGGCCGGGCGACGGUUGUCCCGGUUUAAGCGUGUAGGCUGGUUUUCCAGGCAAAUCCGGAAAAUCAAGGCUGAGGCGUGAUGACGAGGCACUACGGUGCUGAAGCAACAAAUGCCCUGCUUCCAGGAAAAGCCUCUAAGCAUCAGGUAACAUCAAAUCGUACCCCAAACCGACACAGGUGGUCAGGUAGAGAAUACCAAGGCGCUUGAGAGAACUCGGGUGAAGGAACUAGGCAAAAUGGUGCCGUAACUUCGGGAGAAGGCACGCUGAUAUGUAGGUGAAGUCCCUCGCGGAUGGAGCUGAAAUCAGUCGAAGAUACCAGCUGGCUGCAACUGUUUAUUAAAAACACAGCACUGUGCAAACACGAAAGUGGACGUAUACGGUGUGACGCCUGCCCGGUGCCGGAAGGUUAAUUGAUGGGGUUAGCGCAAGCGAAGCUCUUGAUCGAAGCCCCGGUAAACGGCGGCCGUAACUAUAACGGUCCUAAGGUAGCGAAAUUCCUUGUCGGGUAAGUUCCGACCUGCACGAAUGGCGUAAUGAUGGCCAGGCUGUCUCCACCCGAGACUCAGUGAAAUUGAACUCGCUGUGAAGAUGCAGUGUACCCGCGGCAAGACGGAAAGACCCCGUGAACCUUUACUAUAGCUUGACACUGAACAUUGAGCCUUGAUGUGUAGGAUAGGUGGGAGGCUUUGAAGUGUGGACGCCAGUCUGCAUGGAGCCGACCUUGAAAUACCACCCUUUAAUGUUUGAUGUUCUAACGUUGACCCGUAAUCCGGGUUGCGGACAGUGUCUGGUGGGUAGUUUGACUGGGGCGGUCUCCUCCUAAAGAGUAACGGAGGAGCACGAAGGUUGGCUAAUCCUGGUCGGACAUCAGGAGGUUAGUGCAAUGGCAUAAGCCAGCUUGACUGCGAGCGUGACGGCGCGAGCAGGUGCGAAAGCAGGUCAUAGUGAUCCGGUGGUUCUGAAUGGAAGGGCCAUCGCUCAACGGAUAAAAGGUACUCCGGGGAUAACAGGCUGAUACCGCCCAAGAGUUCAUAUCGACGGCGGUGUUUGGCACCUCGAUGUCGGCUCAUCACAUCCUGGGGCUGAAGUAGGUCCCAAGGGUAUGGCUGUUCGCCAUUUAAAGUGGUACGCGAGCUGGGUUUAGAACGUCGUGAGACAGUUCGGUCCCUAUCUGCCGUGGGCGCUGGAGAACUGAGGGGGGCUGCUCCUAGUACGAGAGGACCGGAGUGGACGCAUCACUGGUGUUCGGGUUGUCAUGCCAAUGGCACUGCCCGGUAGCUAAAUGCGGAAGAGAUAAGUGCUGAAAGCAUCUAAGCACGAAACUUGCCCCGAGAUGAGUUCUCCCUGACCCUUUAAGGGUCCUGAAGGAACGUUGAAGACGACGACGUUGAUAGGCCGGGUGUGUAAGCGCAGCGAUGCGUUGAGCUAACCGGUACUAAUGAACCGUGAGGCUUAACCUUACAACGCCGAAG